AUAAAUGCUUUGAUAAGAAAUAGUAGCAGAAGGAAAGCUAACAGAGAGAAAUCCUCAUUGGCUGAAAGGGAUUUUAAGUGGAACUUCUGUGAAUGCAUCUUUGAGCACUGCUUCGAAAGAGUAGUAUUCUCUAGUAGACAGCAGCAGGUACGCCUGUUAUAGCGUUAAGGUAUAAGAAGGAUUUCUAGAUAAUCCAAUAUAAAGAAAUCCCAUGUACCGAUGUAAAGGAGAUAUCCUGUAGCCUAAAGACUAUGGGAUAAUUAGAGUGGAACCGCGGAAUAAACUUCUGCCUCUAUG
RNAcentral lists this non-coding RNA (297 nucleotides) under Clostridium sp. RNAcentral describes it as "T-box sequence". It matches the Rfam family "T-box leader". Rfam says of the family: Uncharged tRNA acts as the effector for transcription antitermination of genes in the T-box leader family. The record is from RNAcentral. Lineage: Bacteria; Bacillati; Bacillota; Clostridia; Eubacteriales; Clostridiaceae.